GGGGAGAGUACAAAUUAAGGUUCAUAUAAACACUUUUGUGUUUUGGAGUGUGUUUAGUAUUAAUCAAAAAAAAUCAGAAUAGGAUUAGAGAGAUUAGGAGAAUAAAGAGAUUUUAGAGAGAGAAUAGAGAGAGAAACUCAAAACUCCAUUAAUUCAUACAAUCUGAGAGUUUACAAGAUAAAAUAGAGAUAUAAGCUUGUCUAGGUUCAAUGUAUCUCAAAACAGAAGCAUGUAAGGUCAAAGACAAUAUUUGAGUUCAGCCAAUGAAGAGAUCCACAUCCUUUGGCAUCUCUCCGGCCUGUGCCAGCUUGUCCAGACCUGUAUCUCUCUUCCUGCAUUUCACUACACUUCGUUGCACUUCACUGCACCUAAGUGCACUUCAAACA
This 386-nucleotide long non-coding RNA is filed under the name Brassica napus (rape). RNAcentral's name for it is "long non-coding RNA (BNAP_LNC011619)". Lineage: Eukaryota; Viridiplantae; Streptophyta; Magnoliopsida; Brassicales; Brassicaceae. The record is from RNAcentral.